RNA transcript from Sciurus carolinensis (gray squirrel), 5819 nucleotides. It is a transcript of the gene named zinc finger protein 550, with no coding region annotated. The transcript is spliced from 7 exons. Lineage: Eukaryota; Metazoa; Chordata; Mammalia; Rodentia; Sciuridae. The record is from RefSeq and is a predicted model, not a curated record.
GCGGGGUUCCGGGUCGCGGGACGGCCUCCGCUCUGGCGCGACAGUGGGACGGGAGCGGUGGCCCCGAAACCUGGCGGAGCGGAGCCGCAGGAGCUGAGCCCUGCUGCCGGAUGGCGGCGCGGGGGCGCGCCUGGAGCAGAUCCUCCCGCCGGCCUGGACUCCCGGUUCCUCGCGCGGAAAGUAGAAGUCUUAACUACUCCGUGGAUCCGAGGCACCUAGAAAGGGUGUUGGUGACCUUCAAGGAUGUGGCUGUGACCUUCACCCCAGAGGAGUGGGGGCAGCUGGACCUGGCCCAGAGGACCCUGUACCGGGAGGUGAUGCUGGAGACCUCUGCAAUCCUGGUCUCAUUGGGGCAUCAGGUUCCAGAGAUGCUCUACCUGCUGGAGCUCGGGCAGGAGCUGUGGGCAGUGAAGAGAGGCCUCUCCUGUAGCCCCUGUGCAGGCAUCUCCCCUUUGUGUACCCAGUUCCCCUCCGUUGGCAGAGCACAGUUGCAGACCAGAGUGUCAGCUGCUCGUCUGCCAGUCUUGGAGGAAACCUUGCUCCAGGAAGGCCGGACUCGGGGACCUCCAAGGGACUCCAGAUUAGGGCACCCCUGGGAUCCAGAAGGGCUCUUGGAACUGCAGAAAGAUCAAGCGCAGCCAGGGAAGGACUCUCCUGAAGACCUAGAGGGCGGCUUGCACCCCAGGGCAUCCCACGAACACACGUCUGCACACGUCCUCCACGGGGGAGCCUCUCAGCAGCUGGGGAGGGAAGCCUCCCUUGACGCCGGGUCAAAGCUGCACCAAUGCACGCAGUGCGGGAAGGGCUUCACCAGGAAGUGGUACCUGGCUCGACACCAGCGGGUGCACACGGGGCUGAAGCCCUACGAAUGCAGCGCUUGUGGAAAGGCUUUCGGUCACAGCUCGACCCUCAUUCGCCACUACUUCAUCCACACCGGGGAGAAGCCAUACACCUGCGCGGAGUGUGGGAAGGCCUUCAAGCGCAGGGCCUACCUGGCGCAGCACCGCCCCGUCCACACCGGUGAGAGGCCCUACGAGUGCACUCGGUGUCAGCGGGCCUUCGCCCACCGCUCCACCUUCAUUCGCCAUAGCAGGACCCACACGGGGGAGAGACCCUUUGAGUGCAGAGAGUGUGAGCGGGCCUUCAGCAGCAAGGCGUACCUGGUCCAGCACUUCAUCGUGCACACCGGGGAGAAGCCCUACGCGUGCGCACAGUGCGGCAAGGCCUUCCGCUGCAGCUCGGAGCUCUCGCAGCACCGUCGGGUGCACACCGGGGAGAGGCCCUACGAGUGUGCACAGUGCGGCAAGGCCUUCCACCGCAGCGUGUACCUGGCGCAGCAUGCGGUCGUCCACUCCAGGGAGCUGCCCCACAGGUGCCUCGAGUGCGGGAAGGCCUUCAAGCGCAGGUCACACCUCCUACAGCACCAGCGGGUCCACUCCUGAGAGACGCAGGGGCCCAGUCAGGAGCCCUGGUGCAGGGCCUCCUGCCUUUCAUAGUGGACCCACAAGGCAGCGAAAACCCCUCCAGUGGCAAGGGGGUGGGAAGCUGCUCCUGGUUCUUUGGCCAGCACUUGCUUAACUAAACAUGUGAGCGGUGGCCCUGGAGAGAAGCCCCCCUUGUUAGAGAUGCCAACCAAAGAGAAGCGGGGAAGGUCUUCACCAGAGGCUGGACCCUGGGACCUCAUGCUCAGGUUGACCCAAACCAGAAGGAACAUAUUGCCAUCCUGGAGUUCUUCGUGAGGAAUUGCCCCUGACCAUGUAAUGGUCACUGUGAGGAGACUCGUGGCAGAGCAUCACUUGCUUGUGCUGUGAAGUCAUGCUGGAGUCAGACUUGCUUUGGGAUUAGCUCUGUGAACCUAUUAAAGGCUUCAGUCUCAAGCCUCCAUGUUUAACCCCAGGAAGAUGUCUUAGUAUGGUUCAAAAAUGAAGCUGGAUACAAUGGCCCACACCUGUGAUCCCAGCUACUUGGGAGGCCGAGGCAGGAGGAUGCAAGUUUGAGGCCAGCCUUAGCAACGUAGACCCUGUCUCAAAGUAAAAGUAAGUAAGUAAAUAAAUAAAAAGGACUGGGACACAGCUCAGUGGUGGAGCACUUGCCUAGCAUGCCCAAGGCCCUGGGUUCCAGCCCCAGCACUGAAAAAAGAAAAAAGAAAAAAAAAGAACAAAUAGGAGCAGGUGGGAACAGGGUGAGAGAGGAAAAGCGAGUGUCAUCAUAGCCUCCUUCAGACUCCCUGCCAGGCCUCUCAGAGUUUUCUUCAGUUUUCUUCUCAGUACAGGAAUGUUUAGAGGUUUAGGCUCUGCACUUUGCUUUCUAUACUGUUCACAGCCGUCCUGUGGCAGGGGAGCUGUGUGGUAAGGGCAGCCCUUCAUUCACUGGAAACCCUUGUUCCAGCCCCUACUGGUGACUGGUUCUUUGUGAUAGGAAGGUUUGAGUUGUGGAUAGCCACAGUAUGAUGUCCACCACCAAAGACUGUGAGGCCUUGGCUCUUAAAAACAAGCUCCUUAUCCAUGUGGUUUUAACUCGCUGGUUUUCUGUAUUUUCUGGGUGGCAGGAUGGUCACCUUGCACCUGUUCAGCCGUACUCUUCCCACUGCUGUUUCUGGGACUUUUCAGCCCUGUGCAGGGGGUGGGUACUUGCCAGGCCACCCAGCAGUUGUCUAGAGGUUGAAUCGUAGCUAAAACACAGCUAAGGCACUUCACAGUGCAUCCAGGAGAGUACACCUGUAGAGGGGACUUGUCCUGUUGUACAUGCUCAGAGAAGUUUGCCGCAGGAUAACAUGCCUGGUGUUUUAGCAGGUGAGCUAGGACAUUUCCCACAGGUUUUCCUGGGUUCCACAGUUAACCACCAAGCAUGACAACCUGAAACCACUCCUGUGGUACUUUCUUUGAGUUAGUUUUCAAGCUACAUGAGACAAUCAGUGUUAGAUUAUUAAGUGUGUUGUAUGAAAAGCACAAGGUCUUCAUGUCCUCCCUUGAGCCUCUCAGCCUUUUCAGAGGCACAUCAGUGCUUCACGUUUCCAUAGCGGGCACAUUCUUUCACGUGGUGCUGUAUGCACAUGUUCGGUGAAUUAACAGCUGUUUCUGUUUUUGGGGCUGUUGCAUCACUUUCUGUUCUUUGGGGAAGAGAGUUGAUGCUGGCAGACCACAGCUCCCCCUUCGCUCUAGGAGGCUGUAGGUGUUGUGCCAUGUCUGUGCAUGCACUGAGCUUCUGGGUUCAAGCAAGUUGUGGAAAGCCCUCUAAAAACAUCUUGGUGCUUGAGGAAGGGUCUUUGCGGGCCUGGGGACGUGGCGUCAGUUUGCCCCUAAACAGGAGUGAUGUGUUUCCCUGGAUGAAGAAAACCCUGGAGUUUGUUCUCUCACAUUCCAACUCUCCAUAGACUCUUCCUGUGUGUUCAGCACACAGACCUCCCAUAAGCUUGCUGUGGUGAGGGCAGGAGGCUCAGAAGACAUUAUCUUGCAUCACAGCCACUCACUGGUGGGUCCCCAGAGAAGCAUCCCCAUGUGACUGCAUCACGGAUCCUGCCCCUGAGUAGGGAAGGAGCUUACUGUCUAGUGUAGGAAACACAUGAUAAAAACAGUUCCCAAAAGUUAGCCUGAUCUUGUUUUAUUAGCUAUUUUUAACUCAGCAAAAAUUUUAAGGCCUGCUUUCCAGAGCAUUCAGUUCUGCAUCUAGCUAAAAUACAUUUUCAUGCUUAUAAUUCAAUCUUUUUAUUGUGUUGCAUUAAUGGACAGGUCAGGUCACAAAUGCUGCUCUUGCAGAGCAGUCAGUGGGAAGAGAGGGGUGGGAGAGGCACCACCAGUGACCAUCCUCCGGGCAGCCAUCCUGACUGCUCUCCAGUUGGUAGACUCCACAAAGAGAGGCAGAGGAGGAACCAGCCUAGCAAGCCUGCAGAGACACACUGGAAAUGGUACUGUUCGUGGGUGAAGGAGAAAGUGCUCGAAGGCUCCUCCUGCAGCUAGCCGCUGGCCCCUGGGUGUGAGGUGCAAAGAGGGUUGGGGCUGUCAGUGUUCUUCCCUGGAGACUGACCAUGUGGACUUCAUGUUGAAAAUUUUAAGAAAUCACUGAGGAGCACGGCGUGUCAUGGAGCUGGAACAGUGAAGGAAGGCUGCAGAGCGGUGGGAGUGGUGUGGAGGAUGCAGCCAGAGCAUCAGGCCUUCAUCACACUCUCCAGGUUCUUCUCUCAGUUUUGUACAUUCUGGACAUUUUCCAUUACAUAGCAGCUUCUCAAAACUUCUCCAUCAUUUUAACAAGGAUCAUGGAGCCACUGGCCCAGGCCAUGAGGACCAGACUCAUCUACUCAGGAGGAAAAUAUAAGUUGAAUAUAAUGAGCUGUGUUCCCCUGGCAUUGACCAGGAACAGUGUCCAUAAUUGUUUUUCAGAGUAAAGAUUUUGCUAUUCAAUUGGCCAUUCACUAAUACAGCAACAUGAAUUUAUCAAGAGCUGCAGGAUCCAGCAAAUGAAAUUGCAGAAGCUGAUGAACUUUGGGAUUGAAUUUUGAGCAUGACCUACCAAGAUGUGGGUUGAGCUUAAUGGCCUGGAAGCCAUUGAGGAGGCAGAGAGUGCUGAAGGACACCCCUGUGGACACUCUGUGAAAACAGAAGACAACUUUACAUCAAGCAUCAUCCAGGAAAUAUAUUGUUUGAGGGAUCCUUUGGAGAAUAGGACCAAGCAGUUGGCUAUGGCCAAUUGACUGAGACUUAAGUCUAUGGGUCUCACCUUGUUUCCAGUGAGCAAGGAGAAGCUGUAGAAACAAAGGAGGGGGGAAUUUCCAAGGAUCCCAACUCCAGUCUGAGACAUGGCAGAGAGGACCCCCACAAGGAAGAUAAAUCCCAAUUCCAAAUUUCCAGCAUCCAUUUUUAUAUCAGCAUCUAGAGGGUGUUGAUUUUGACAGAAGUCAGAGGAAUCAGUGAGAAAGAAGCAGAAUGUCUCACACAGUGCUUUUCUGUGUCUUCACUCACACAUCCUUACUUUAAGUGGGCAUAGACUCUGCAUGCUUAUUUGUGCAGAGGUGACUCACUGAAGAACUGCAGUGGAAAUCACUUGGGCUCUGCUUGCAAGGGGAGAAGGACUGAGAGCAUGAGGUGGCCACAGACCUCUGCAGUGGCUGAGGGGAGUGGAGCUCUCUGCACAGAUCCAUCAGUGUGGGCUCAGAAUCCUUCCACCAUGACUGAGGAGUCAGGAAAGGGUUUGGGCAUAGCAAAUGUUGUUUGCUGGUGGAUGUUUUGCAAGAGAGACCAGAUGAAUGCUUACAACUGCACUCAGCUGAAAUGUCAUGUUGGGGUAUAAAAUGCAUAUGAGGAGAGAACUCAGACAUUACAGGCCAUCCCAGUUCACCAAGUGGUAUGGUCUAAAGCCAUUCACAUCUGUGUUACCAGCUCCUGUCUGGUUUUAGGUGGGCUCUGUCACCACUUCACAUGAGCUCACAAACUACAGCCCUUUCAACACCCACUGCCAAAAGCAAAUGAGACUUUCAAUGGUAGUUUUUAGGUGUUUCUCCAAUAUGAAACAUGUGAAACUAUGUUACAGUAUUUAGUAGACUUCUCUCUACUUUAAAAUAAAUUCACUGAUGAAAUUCCGCAGUUUCCCAGUAAACCCUGUGGUUUGUUUGUGGAAGUUUCGCCUACUUCUGAGGUUUCAGGAUGCAUAGCAUGACUGGCUUUAUGGUAUUUCCUUUGGGGUAGAUUCUUAAGUGAACAACCAUAGUCCUCACUUACUAAAUAUGCUGUUCUAGGGCAAGUAGAGGAGUACACUUAUAGGGGCAGAAAUCUGAUAAGAUGGUAGGACAAGAAUGAAAUUUUAUAGAAUUUCCUUGUGUGGUAGUU